UAAACCGAUUAUAUUAAAGUGAAUUGGCAAUAAAUUAGCGCAAGUGAUAUGAGACUUAAUCGCCUUUACUUCAAUGUACCUCCACGCGAAUGCACGAAUCAUCUUUUAAUUUAGGAUGUGACAAGUCAAAUUAGUCUGUAUGCAGUCUUUCAGUUACAAUAGCAACAUUUAAUAUAGUAAAGCUGUGAAUAAAUGGAGAAAUUAAAGCUGCAUUGUCAUUGAUCAACCUCUAAAUUUCCUCCUCCCAAGACCAAUUCCUGGAGAAAAUGUGUGUAACCUCCAACACGAACGUAGUAAAUCUUACCUUUUUAAAAAUACUAUAUAGUUGCAGAAGUAGAUUUCAGAAUAAUCCUUCAAAUAUUAUUAGUUUUAUCUGACAAUUAUUGUACAAAAUUUAGUGGAGUAAUUUAUUUAAAUUUCAUCUGGCUUGUAUUUCCAUUGCAUGUAAUUCUAAUCAGUGUAUAUACUGCAAGAGAGUCCUAAUAAAGAAAUAUUAUUAUUAUUAUAUUAUAUUAUUAUACUUGGCCGUUUAGAAAUGUUAUAUAAUGCAGCUUGGACUGUACGACUGCAGUUGAACACUCAAUAUUAUAGUGGGUUUGUUAAUUAAUAUAGUGCGAGCUAAUUAGUGGUCAGUGCGUGCUACUUCCAUUCAAAACACUUCACCUUGUGUGUGAUUAAAUCCUAAUCCCAUUUAUCGGAAACCUAUAAGACACGUUCAUAAGAAGAAAUACAAACAAGACCAAGGACACAAUCACACAAACUUCAAUAGAGUGUAUUUAUAUCCUUCCUUAUUUUCCAAAUAAGAUUUGCUUCGUCUCGUUUAGAAUGGAUUAUACGCCGGCUGAUAGUAUUUUAGGCAAAACAUUAUUUUAACCAAGCUUAAUCCUUCCUGUUGGUCGAUGCACACGAAACGGCGCAAAAAUAUAACUGCACGAAUUAAAACAUUCUCUUGAAGUUUCUCGAAAUUCAGCCAGGAAGGUUUUGCUCAUUGUGCCAUUCCGCCGAUAUUACAAAUGAAACCCUUGCCUUUGAUGUAAUAAUGUUCUUACACCAUCAAGCAUUUUCACAAUCAGGCACCGUAAAAGGGGCCUGGAUGUGAUCAUGCGGGACGAUAAAGAAAUUCAAGAAUUACAAAUGAUGCCAUGCAUGGUAUACACGCAAAGCAUUCUUCACAGUUCACUUACAGUGGAAAGUUUUUUCCCAAAUCCUAACUAUGGAAAUAGCAUGGAUUUUCGUUGGAAAUUAUAAUACGGAAAUCCAAUUCUCAUACUCAUUGCUAUUUCCAUACUACGUAUAUAGUAUAGAUAUACUAUGGAUUUACUGUUGCAAUGGACCAUUCCCCUGCAAUUAACCAAAAUUUUGAACUCAACAAGUCUAGACAAAUAUUUCAUCACAGCUUGAAAGAGCAUCACAAAAUUAGUAAUAUUCCAAAGUUUCGUUGCAAAAUGUUGUAAAAUGUGGAUAAUAUAGCCUUGCGAAGUUUGCAAUUUUCAGUCAUUUUAGAUUACAAACGGGAAAUGGUUACCACUUCUGUGCGUAAUCUAAAAUGACUGAAAAUUACAAACUUCGCAAGGCUAUAUUAUCCGCAUUUUACAACAUUUUGCAACGAAACUUUGGAAUAUUACUAAUUUUGUGAUGCUCUUUCAAGCUGUGAUGAAAUUUUUGUUUAGGCUAGUUAAGAUCAAAAUUUUGGAAAAGUGGUAACCAUUUCCC
Paramuricea clavata is the source of this 1713-nucleotide non-coding RNA. The record is from the annotation of a GenBank genome assembly. NCBI's taxonomy places the organism in Eukaryota, Metazoa, Cnidaria, Anthozoa, Malacalcyonacea, Plexauridae.